GACGAACGCUGGCGGCGUGCUUAACACAUGCAAGUCGAACGGUAAGGCUCCAGCUUGCUGGGGUACACGAGUGGCGAACGGGUGAGUAACACGUGGGUGACCUGCCCUGCACUUCGGGAUAAGCCUGGGAAACUGGGUCUAAUACCGGAUAGGACCGCACCGUGAGGGUGUGGUGGGAAGUUUUUUCGGUGUGGGAUGGGCCCGCGGCCUAUCAGCUUGUUGGUGGGGUAAUGGCCUACCAAGGCGGCGACGGGUAGCCGGCCUGAGAGGGUGGACGGCCACAUUGGGACUGAGACACGGCCCAGACUCCUACGGGAGGCAGCAGUGGGGAAUAUUGCACAAUGGGCGGAAGCCUGAUGCAGCGACGCCGCGUGGGGGAUGACGGCCUUCGGGUUGUAAACUCCUUUCACCAUCGACGAAGGGUUUCUGACGGUAGAUGGAGAAGAAGCACCGGCUAACUACGUG
RNAcentral lists this ribosomal RNA (465 nucleotides) under uncultured bacterium. RNAcentral describes it as "partial 16S ribosomal RNA". It matches the Rfam family "Bacterial small subunit ribosomal RNA", at positions 28 to 507 of the family's 1533-position model. The record is from RNAcentral.